UGAUCUUGAGAUCCUGGGUGUGUCAGAG
This 28-nucleotide non-coding RNA is filed under the name Mus musculus (house mouse). Lineage: Eukaryota; Metazoa; Chordata; Mammalia; Rodentia; Muridae. The record is from RNAcentral.